RNAcentral lists this ribosomal RNA (494 nucleotides) under uncultured bacterium. Its description in RNAcentral is "partial 16S ribosomal RNA". It matches the Rfam family "Bacterial small subunit ribosomal RNA", at positions 28 to 507 of the family's 1533-position model. The record is from RNAcentral.
GACGAACGCUGGCGGCGUGCUUAACACAUGCAAGUCGAACGGAAAGGCCUGCUUUCCCUUGUGGAUUGCGGGUACUCGAGUGGCGAACGGGUGAGUAACACGUGAGUGAUCUGCCCCCAACUUGGGUAUAAGCCUGGGAAACUGGGUCUAAUUCCCGAUAGGACUGCAGGGUGGUGCCUGUGGUGGAAAACGAUUUUCUAGUGGUUGGGGAUGAGCUCGCGGCCUAUCAGCUUGUUGGUGGGGUAAUGGCCUACCAAGGCGGCGACGGGUAGCCGGCCUGGGAGGGUGGACGGCCACAUUGGGACUGAGAUACGGCCCAGGCUCCUACGGGAGGCAGCAGUGGGGAAUAUUGCACAAUGGGCGGAAGCCUGAUGCAGCGACGCCGCGUGGGGGAUGACGGCCUUCGGGUUGUAAACUCCUUUCGACCGCGAGGAAGCCACCUGGUUGGAGGGGUGGUGACGGUAGUGGUAGAAGAAGCACCGGCUAACUACGUG